Molecule: long non-coding RNA, 856 nt
Filed under: Capra hircus (goat)
Lineage: Eukaryota; Metazoa; Chordata; Mammalia; Artiodactyla; Bovidae
Description: lncRNA (ENSCHIG00000002569.1)
Source: RNAcentral
CAGUAAUUAUGAGAAGUCCUAAAUGUAGAGAGAUUAAGCUGCCUGAGAUUGUCCGGCUAAUAAGAAGUACACCCUGGAUGUGAAUGGAGUUCCUUUAACUUCUAAAUCCAGGCUUAUGCUAGAAGCUGUGAAAGCUUUCAGAGAUGAAGAAAAUGUAUCCUUUGUAAUCACUGAGAAAGAUGACUUGCCCCACAUACAUGAAACAAGUAAAGGGCCUCAAUAUAACAGCACCGUACAUUUUUCUGUCUAUGGAGGAGCUGAAGCAGAUUCUAAUAUUACUCCCAACCCAUGUUUUCUUCUCUUGUCCUUGGAUAUCUGUGAUGAAGAAAUGGAACUGGGGAGAUGCUGGAGAAAGGAUACAGACUUGCAAUUAGAAGAUGAGUAUCUUCUGGAGCUCUGCAGACAGCAUGGCGAUUACAGAUCCAAGAACAUCCAGACUGGAAACUAGAUGGCUUGGAUUGCUUUCUGGAAGGAAGAGAACUUGUAAGGAAGAGAAAUAUCCUGUACACCAUAUAUAAAAGAAGCUCUCUGCACAGGAACUGUCUGGGAGUUUUGUCUUUAUCAAAAAAUGUUCUUCAGCCCCAAGCCUUUACCAUCUAUCUUUCAAAAACUCUUCAAGGAUUUGGUUUUAUUUCCAGCCAAGUCAGAUCACAGGAAUUCCCACUCAUAUUUAUUUCUCUCUCUGUAAGUUCUUCAUGUUCUAUGUGUAAUCUGUCCCCGUGGAUGUUGUAAUGCAGCAACUUUUUUCACGUGAACCAGAAAUUAACCUUUAGUACUUUGGCUCCAGCAGAGAGAUGCUAUUAGUCUUGGUAGCCAUCUGCCUCUCUUGCCCCAUAUUAAAUGUAUUAUCUCCUCA